This 613-nucleotide ribosomal RNA is filed under the name Blastocystis sp. RNAcentral describes it as "SSU rRNA". It matches the Rfam family "Eukaryotic small subunit ribosomal RNA", at positions 5 to 630 of the family's 1831-position model. The record is from RNAcentral. Lineage: Eukaryota; Bigyra; Opalinata; Blastocystidae.
UGGUUGAUCCUGCCAGUAGUCAUACGCUCGUCUCAAAGAUUAAGCCAUGCAUGUGUAAGUAUAAAUAAUUCUACUUUGAAACUGCGAAUGGCUCAUUAUAUCAGUUAUAGUUUAUUAGAAAUAGUGUACUACUUGGAUAACCGUAGUAAUUCUAGGGCUAAUACAUGAAUAAAUCCUCGACUUUUGAAGAGGUGGGGUUAUUAGAAUGAAAACCAUAUGCUUUUGCAUGAAAGUAAGUAAUAAUAACCUUUCAUAUCGCCUGUAUUAAAUAGCGAUAGUUCUUUCAAGUUUCUGCCCUAUCAGCUUUCGAUGGUAGUGUAUUGGACUACCAUGGCAGUAACGGGUAACGAAGAAUUUGGGUUCGAUUUCGGAGAGGGAGCCUGAGAGAUGGCUACCACAUCCAAGGAAGGCAGCAGGCGCGUAAAUUACCCAAUCCUGACAUAGGGAGGUAGUGACAAUAAAUCACAAUGCGGGACUAUUUAGUUUUGCAAUUGAAUUGAGAACAAUGUACAAGAGUUAUCGAUAAACAAUUGGAGGGCAAGUCUGGUGCCAGCAGCCGCGGUAAUUCCAGCUCCAAUAGCGUAUAUUAACGUUGUUGCAGAUAAAAAGCUCA